UACGAAGGGCCCGAGCGUUAAUCGGAUUCACUGGGCUUAAAGAGUGCGUAGGCGGAUACGUAAGUGUCGGGUGAAAUUCCAUGGCUUAACCAUGGAACGGCAAGGCAUACUGCGUAUCUUGAGGUCGGUAGGGGUUGCCGGAACUCUAGGUGUAGCGGUGAAAUGCGUAGAUAUCUAGGGGAACGCCAAUGGUGAAGACAGGCAACUGGGCCGAUUCUGACGCUGAGGCACGAAAGCGUGGGGAGCAAACAGG
This 253-nucleotide ribosomal RNA is filed under the name uncultured bacterium. Its description in RNAcentral is "partial 16S ribosomal RNA". It matches the Rfam family "Bacterial small subunit ribosomal RNA", at positions 524 to 776 of the family's 1533-position model. The record is from RNAcentral.